This 253-nucleotide ribosomal RNA is filed under the name uncultured bacterium. RNAcentral describes it as "partial 16S ribosomal RNA". It matches the Rfam family "Bacterial small subunit ribosomal RNA", at positions 524 to 776 of the family's 1533-position model. The record is from RNAcentral.
UACGGAGGGGGCUAGCGUUGUUCGGAAUUACUGGGCGUAAAGCGCACGUAGGCGGCUUUGCAAGUUAGAGGUGAAAGCCCGGGGCUCAACUCCGGAAUUGCCUUUAAAACUGCACCGCUAGAAUUGUGGAGAGGUAAGUGGAAUUCCGAGUGUAGAGGUGAAAUUCGUAGAUAUUCGGAAGAACACCAGUGGCGAAGGCGACUUACUGGACACAUAUUGACGCUGAGGUGCGAAAGCGUGGGGAGCAAACAGG